Molecule: ribosomal RNA, 332 nt
Filed under: uncultured bacterium
Lineage: Bacteria
Description: bacterial SSU rRNA
Rfam family: Bacterial small subunit ribosomal RNA
Source: RNAcentral
CGUGUAGGCGGUUUCUUAAGUCUGAUGUGAAAGCCCCGGGCUCAACCCGGGAAGUGCAUUGGAUACUGGGAGACUUGAAUACGGGAGAGGGUAGUGGAAUUCCUAGUGUAGGAGUGAAAUCCGUAGAUAUUAGGAGGAACACCGGUGGCGAAGGCGGCUACCUGGACCGAUAUUGACGCUGAGACGCGAAAGCGUGGGGAGCAAACAGGAUUAGAUACCCUGGUAGUCCACGCCGUAAACGAUGAGAACUAGGUGUUGCGGGUAUUGACCCCUGCAGUGCCGAAGCUAACGCAUUAAGUGCUCCGCCUGGGGAGUACGGUCGCAAGGCUGAA